Molecule: unclassified non-coding RNA, 377 nt
Filed under: uncultured Parachlamydiaceae bacterium
Lineage: Bacteria; Pseudomonadati; Chlamydiota; Chlamydiia; Parachlamydiales; Parachlamydiaceae
Description: contains 16S-23S intergenic spacer region
Source: RNAcentral
UCCCGGUUAACCCGGGCAGUCUCGUUAGAGUUCCCAUCCUAAAUGUUGGCAACUAACGAUAAGGGUUGCGCUCGUUGCGGGACUUAACCCAACACCUCACGGCACGAGCUGACGACAGCCAUGCAGCACCUGUGCACAGGCCCCGAAGGGCGUUAAUAUCUCUACUAACUUCCUGUGCAUGUCAAGCCUGGGUAAGGUUCUUCGCGUUGCAUCGAAUUAAACCACAUGCUCCACUGCUUGUGCGGGUCCCCGUCAAUUCUUUUGAGUUUCAGCCUUGCGACUGUACUCCCCAGGCGGUAUACUUAACGCGUUAGCUACGGCACAGCCAGGGUUGAUUCCAGCUACACCAAGUAUACAUCGUUUACGGCAAGGACUAC